GAUGAACGCUGGCGGCGUGCCUAAUACAUGCAAGUCGAGCGAACAGACGAGGAGCUUGCUCCUCUGACGUUAGCGGCGGACGGGUGAGUAACACGUGGAUAACCUACCUAUAAGACUGGGAUAACUACGGGAAACCGGAGCUAAUACCGGAUAAUAUAUUGAACCGCAUGGUUCAAUAGUGAAAGGCGGGUUUGCUGUCACUUAUAGAUGGAUCCGCGCCGCAUUAGCUAGUUGGUAAGGUAACGGCUUACCAAGGCAACGAUGCGUAGCCGACCUGAGAGGGUGAUCGGCCACACUGGAACUGAGACACGGUCCAGACUCCUACGGGAGGCAGCAGUAGGGAAUCUUCCGCAAUGGGCGAAAGCCUGACGGAGCAACGCCGCGUGAGUGAUGAAGGUCUUCGGAUCGUAAAACUCUGUUAUUAGGGAAGAACAAAUGUGUAAGUAACUAUGCACGUCUUGACGGUACCUAAUCAGAAAGCCACGGCUAACUACGUG
Molecule: ribosomal RNA, 497 nt
Filed under: uncultured bacterium
Lineage: Bacteria
Description: partial 16S ribosomal RNA
Rfam family: Bacterial small subunit ribosomal RNA
Source: RNAcentral